RNAcentral lists this ribosomal RNA (494 nucleotides) under uncultured bacterium. Its description in RNAcentral is "partial 16S ribosomal RNA". It matches the Rfam family "Bacterial small subunit ribosomal RNA", at positions 28 to 507 of the family's 1533-position model. The record is from RNAcentral.
GACGAACGCUGGCGGCGUGCUUAACACAUGCAAGUCGAACGGUGAAGCGCCUUCCUUUUUGGUGGGUGUGGAUGAGUGGCGAACGGGUGAGUAACACGUGAGUAACCUGCCCCCUUCUUCUGGAUAACCGCAUGAAAGUGUGGCUAAUACGGGAUAUUCUGGGUCUGUCGCAUGAUGGGUCUGGGAAAGAUAUUGUUUCGGUGGGGGAUGGGCUCGCGGCCUAUCAGCUUGUUGGUGGGGUGAUGGCCUACCAAGGCGGUGACGGGUAGCCGGCCUAAGAGGGUGGACGGUCACACUGGGACUGAGACACGGCCCAGACUCCUACGGGAGGCAGCAGUGGGGAAUAUUGCACAAUGGGCGCAAGCCUGAUGCAGCGACGCCGCGUGAGGGAUGGAGGCCUUCGGGUUGUGAACCUCUUUCGCCAGUGAAGCAGGCCUGCCUCGUUUGUGGGUGGGUUGACGGUAGCUGGAUAAGAAGCGCCGGCUAACUACGUG